UGGGGGAAUGUCUGUGACGAUGGAUUUGAUAAAAAUGCUGCGCAGGUGGUUUGCCAACAAUUAAAAUUGUUUAAUUCUUCAAGACCUGAUGAAACUGAUAUCUAUGUCAAUGGCAAUAAUUCAUGGAUUACAACGACUCGAUCUUAUUGGAUGAGUGGUAUUAAUUGUCAAGGAAACGAAACCCAACUGGAAGAAUGUGGAAAUGUGACAUGGGCUCAAAACAUAUGUAAUAUAAGUAACAUAGUAGGGGUGAGAUGUG
Long non-coding RNA from Patella vulgata (common limpet), 259 nucleotides. RefSeq lists it as uncharacterized. Lineage: Eukaryota; Metazoa; Mollusca; Gastropoda; Patellidae. The transcript is spliced from 2 exons. The record is from RefSeq and is a predicted model, not a curated record.